This is a non-coding RNA of Cupriavidus basilensis, 116 nucleotides long. NCBI's taxonomy places the organism in Bacteria, Pseudomonadati, Pseudomonadota, Betaproteobacteria, Burkholderiales, Burkholderiaceae. The record is from Rfam.
GAAGUCCCUGACCACGAAGAUUUAGCAAAUCACGUUGUCCCCGAGUCAUGCGCCGUGUGUCGUGAGGCACAUGGUGAAGCGUUAUUCUUGGCCAUUCUUGCCUUAUUCCGUGAGCU